Molecule: long non-coding RNA, 605 nt
Organism: Meriones unguiculatus (Mongolian gerbil)
Lineage: Eukaryota; Metazoa; Chordata; Mammalia; Rodentia; Muridae
Exons: 2
Source: RefSeq, a predicted model, not a curated record
UGGCGUGCGCCUGCGCGUCCCGGGCUGAGCCGGUGGCUUGUAGCUAGGUCCCGGAGUUCCUGAGGAUUAGCCCACCUCCUAGUCCGCCAACCGUAGGAGGACUAGAGAAAGACGCCCGCGCACAUCAUGGUUUCCUGCACCCAGGAGGUGGUAGCGGGCGCCUUUAAUCCCAGUACUGGGGAGGGUGAGGCUGGAGGAUUGCCUCAAAUUCGAGCUCUCAGAUAACAAAUAGCCUGUCACUGAGAGAAGCCAGGACAGGAGCUCAAGGCAGAACCUGGAGGCAAGAACUCAAGCAGAAGCCAUGGAAGAGCACCGGUCCCUGGCUCGAUCAUCUCUUCUACAAUCCAGGACCGGGACCACCUCCAGUGACCUGGUCCCUCCUGCAUCAGUCAUUAAUCAAGAAAAAUAUCCUGCCAGGCUCGGUGGCGCACGCCUUUGAUUCCAGCACUUGGGAGCAGAGGCAGGCGGAUCUCUGUGAGUUUGAGGCCAGCCUGGCCUACAAAGCGAGUCCAAGACAGCGAAGGCUACACAGAGAAAAACCCUGUCUCAAAAAACAAAACAAAACCCAAAUAAAUAAAAACAUUGUCUUCCAAGCUUGCCCAUAA